Small nucleolar RNA from Peromyscus californicus insignis, 165 nucleotides. RefSeq annotates it as small nucleolar RNA snR34. The transcript has a single exon. Lineage: Eukaryota; Metazoa; Chordata; Mammalia; Rodentia; Cricetidae. The record is from RefSeq and is a predicted model, not a curated record.
AUACAAAUAAUUUAUUUUAUUAAAGAAUGAAGCAAGAGACUCAUAGAUGCUUUGUAGCAUUCUGCCAGACCUUCAAAGAAGAGCUGACAUUAAAAUUCCUGAAACUGCUCCAUGCCAUAGAAAAGGAAGGAACACAACCAGACUCAUCAUAUGGAGCCAGCAUUA